GGAAGGUUGGGGGAUAAUAGGAAUUUCAGGGACAAAGAGACAGGAGUACGAGGAGAAAAGGGGAAAGACGGGGAGGAGGAGUGCCUGGACCCGAGGCAAGAUCCUCAGCUGGGAUAAAUCAGCUCCGCUUCCCUGUGGCCAAGGGAGGUAGGAAGAUGCACAGUGGUUCUGGACACAACCUGCCUUGUUUGGAGACUGGACCUCUUCUUUUCCCUGGUGAUGAGCAGGCAUGCAGCAGCCUUCCUGCUGGACUGGAAUACCUAAGCUUGGGACAAGAGACAGCCUUACAGGUGUUGUCUCUCUCUGCACUGAUUAUAACUGGGUGAGUGACUCAGAAAGGACACUACAGGGCAGCUAAAACCAAGCUGAAGGAGUUUCUGCUCUUACUAAACAAGUUUUGACCUUGGAUUCUUCACAGUUGACAGCAGCCAUGGAGCCCUUCGGAGCCUUUGGAGGCAUCUCCUGAUCAAUGAGGCACAAUGAGCUCAAAGCUUCUGCCCAAAGGCACACAGUGUCUGCAAGUGUUCUGUUUUCAGGAGCAUCCAGAGCUUAAGAACAACCUCUUUAAACAUGGGUUGUAUGUCAAAAAUGUGAUAUGAUCUUGGACAUCUGGCAACUAUAUGUAUAUGUUUAAUUGAGAGAAUAAACAUUCCUCAAAAAUCA
Long non-coding RNA from Junco hyemalis (dark-eyed junco), 663 nucleotides. The record is from Ensembl. NCBI's taxonomy places the organism in Eukaryota, Metazoa, Chordata, Aves, Passeriformes, Passerellidae.